This 465-nucleotide ribosomal RNA is filed under the name Vreelandella stevensii. Its description in RNAcentral is "partial 16S ribosomal RNA". It matches the Rfam family "Bacterial small subunit ribosomal RNA", at positions 338 to 795 of the family's 1533-position model. The record is from RNAcentral. Lineage: Bacteria; Pseudomonadati; Pseudomonadota; Gammaproteobacteria; Oceanospirillales; Halomonadaceae.
CCUACGGGUGGCAGCAGUGGGGAAUAUUGGACAAUGGGCGAAAGCCUGAUCCAGCCAUGCCGCGUGUGUGAAGAAGGCCUUCGGGUUGUAAAGCACUUUCAGUGGGGAAGAAAGCCUUGGGGCUAAUACCCUCGAGGAAGGACAUCACCCACAGAAGAAGCACCGGCUAACUCCGUGCCAGCAGCCGCGGUAAUACGGAGGGUGCGAGCGUUAAUCGGAAUUACUGGGCGUAAAGCGCGCGUAGGCGGUCUGAUAAGCCGGUUGUGAAAGCCCCGGGCUCAACCUGGGAACGGCCUCCGGAACUGUCAGGCUAGAGUGCAGGAGAGGAAGGUAGAAUUCCCGGUGUAGCGGUGAAAUGCGUAGAGAUCGGGAGGAAUACCAGUGGCGAAGGCGGCCUUCUGGACUGACACUGACGCUGAGGUGCGAAAGCGUGGGUAGCAAACAGGAUUAGAUACCCCAGUAGUC